GACGAACGCUGGCGGCGUGCUUAACACAUGCAAGUCGAACGGCAAGGCCCUGCUUUUGUGGGGUGCUCGAGUGGCGAACGGGUGAGUAACACGUGAGUAACCUGCCCUUGACUUUGGUAUAACUUCAGGAAACUGGGGCUAAUACCGGAUAGGAGCUCCUGCUGCAUGGUGGGGGUUGGAACGUUUCGGCGGUUGGGGAUGGACUCGCGGCUUAUCAGCUUGUUGGUGGGGUAGUGGCUUACCAAGGGUUUGACGGGUAGGCGGCCUGAGAGGGUGACCGGCGACAUGGGGACUGAGAGACGGCGCAGAGGGCUACGGGAGGCAGCAGGGGGGAAUAUUGCACAAUGGGCGGAAGCCUGAUGCAGAAACGCCGCGGGCGGGAUGACGGCCUUCGGGGAGUAAACCGCUGUCGCCUGUGACGAAGCGGGAGUGACGGUAAUGGGUAAAGAAGCACCGGCUAACUACGUG
Molecule: ribosomal RNA, 468 nt
Filed under: uncultured bacterium
Lineage: Bacteria
Description: partial 16S ribosomal RNA
Rfam family: Bacterial small subunit ribosomal RNA
Source: RNAcentral